This 252-nucleotide ribosomal RNA is filed under the name uncultured bacterium. RNAcentral describes it as "partial 16S ribosomal RNA". It matches the Rfam family "Bacterial small subunit ribosomal RNA", at positions 524 to 776 of the family's 1533-position model. The record is from RNAcentral.
UACGGAGGGUGCGAGCGUUGUCCGGAUUUACUGGGCGUAAAGGGCGCGUAGGCGGCUUGAUCAGUCGGUUGUGAAAGACUUGGGCUCAGCCUGAGUAAGCGAUCGGGACGGUCGAGCUGGAGCGUGGUAGAGGGACGUGGAAUGCCGGGUGUAGUGGUGAAAUGCGUAGAUAUCCGGCGGAACACCGGUGGUGAAAACGGCGUCCUGGGCCAUAGCUGACGCUGAGGCGCGAGAGCGUGGGGAGCGAACCGG